Molecule: ribosomal RNA, 460 nt
Filed under: uncultured bacterium
Lineage: Bacteria
Description: partial 16S ribosomal RNA
Rfam family: Bacterial small subunit ribosomal RNA
Source: RNAcentral
CCUACGGGAGGCAGCAGUGAGGAAUAUUGGUCAAUGGACGGAAGUCUGAACCAGCCAUGCCGCGUGCAGGAAGACGGCUCUAUGAGUUGUAAACUGCUUUUGUACAAGGGUAAAUCUGAAUACGUGUAUUCUGCUGAAAGUACUGUACGAAUAAGGAUCGGCUAACUCCGUGCCAGCAGCCGCGGUAAUACGGAGGAUCCAAGCGUUAUCCGGAUUUAUUGGGUUUAAAGGGUGCGUAGGCGGAUUGAUAAGUUAGAGGUGAAAUGUCCGGGCUUAACUCGGGAACUGCCUCUUAUACUUUUGAUCUAGAGGGUAGGUGCGGUAGGCGGAAUGUAUGGUGUAGCGGUGAAAUGCUUAGAGAUCAUACAGAACACCGAUUGCGAAGGCAGCUUACCAAUCUAUAUCUGACGUUGAGGCACGAAAGCGUGGGGAGCAAACAGGAUUAGAUACCCGAGUAGUC